Long non-coding RNA from Homo sapiens (human), 821 nucleotides. The record is from Ensembl. Lineage: Eukaryota; Metazoa; Chordata; Mammalia; Primates; Hominidae.
UCGGUAGCUUCCGAGGCUCUGCGGGAGAAUCCGUUUCCUGGCCGUAGAGGUGGCCUGCACUCCGCAGCUUGUGCUGCCCGUCUCGAAUGACUGGAGUUUCCUGCUUCUGUCACUACACCUCCCACCCUCUCCAUCACCUGCUCUGCUCUUACAAGGAUCCGAAGAAAUGGAAUCAUCGUAUCGCUGAUCUACGUAAACAAACUGAAGAAUUGUCUGAAAGAAAAUAUGGUAUGUCUAAACUGGAAAAGUCUUGUAAUCUUAGGUUCAUGGGCGUUUACACAGUGGAGUUACUGUUCAUCAUGGGGGUACCGUGGACAAUCCCAGGGCUGCCGGCGAGUCAUGCCAUCCUUACAUGUUUCUCCUUGUAAGACAUGAACUUAUGAAUUCAACAGGUGAAGAUUUACAACUUGAUAAAUCAACUUUGUCAGGUACGUCUUCAGUCAAGUCAGAUUAGAAGAUUAUGUGAGGUAAUUAACACUUAACAUUGAUUUAAUGGUAGCUUCCACAUGAAAUAGUAUGCCUCUAAGUAUUAAUUAUGUCCUAGGACAGGAGAAUUCAUGUUGUCAAAAUUCUCAUACUCUCUAGAACAAUAAACUCAUUUUCUUUUUAUUAGUAAAUAUUGCAUUUAUGGGUAGACAAAACUGAAAGAACAAUAUUUGUUCUACUUUUGAGAUGCAAGAUUCAUCUGGCAUAAUGCAUUGAACAGGUUAUUAUUGAAGUCUACACCAGUCAACUGAAUAAGCAUUCAUCAAAUGUCCAUGAUAUGCAGGACAUAAGUUUUCUUUUAGAGUAUGGAACCAUGCAUAUUAUCUUUUAAUUAG